GACGAACGCUGACGGCGUGCCUAAUACAUGCAAGUAGAACGCUGAAGGAGGAGCUUGCUCUUCUGGAUGAGUUGCGAACGGGUGAGUAACGCGUAGGUAACCUGCCUGGUAGCGGGGGAUAACUAUUGGAAACGAUAGCUAAUACCGCAUAACAGUAGAUGUUGCAUGACAUUUACUUAAAAGGUGCAAUUGCAUCACUACCAGAUGGACCUGCGUUGUAUUAGCUAGUUGGUGGGGUAACGGCUCACCAAGGCGACGAUACAUAGCCGACCUGAGAGGGUGAUCGGCCACACUGGGACUGAGACACGGCCCAGACUCCUACGGGAGGCAGCAGUAGGGAAUCUUCGGCAAUGGACGGAAGUCUGACCGAGCAACGCCGCGUGAGUGAAGAAGGUUUUCGGAUCGUAAAGCUCUGUUGUAAGAGAAGAACGAGUGUGAGAGUGGAAAGUUCACACUGUGACGGUAUCUUACCAGAAAGGGACGGCUAACUACGUG
This 495-nucleotide ribosomal RNA is filed under the name uncultured bacterium. Its description in RNAcentral is "partial 16S ribosomal RNA". It matches the Rfam family "Bacterial small subunit ribosomal RNA", at positions 28 to 507 of the family's 1533-position model. The record is from RNAcentral.